This 398-nucleotide ribosomal RNA is filed under the name uncultured bacterium. RNAcentral's name for it is "bacterial SSU rRNA". It matches the Rfam family "Bacterial small subunit ribosomal RNA", at positions 29 to 416 of the family's 1533-position model. The record is from RNAcentral.
AAUGAACGCUGGCGGCGCGCCUAAUACAUGCAAGUCGAGCGAGAAGACGUAGCAAUACGUUUGUAAAGCGGCGAACGGGUGAGGAAUACAUGGGUAACCUACCCUCGAGUGGGGAAUAACUAGCCGAAAGGUUAGCUAAUACCGCGUACGCUCCUUGGACUUCGGUUCAGGGAGGAAAGCGAUACCGUGGGUAUCGCGCUCUUGGUUGGGCUCAUGUCCUAUCAGCUUGUUGGUGAGGUAACGGCUCACCAAGGCUUCGACGGGUAGCUGGUCUGAGAGGACGAUCAGCCACACUGGCACUGCGACACGGGCCAGACUCCUACGGGAGGCAGCAGUAAGGAAUAUUGCGCAAUGGGUGAAGGCCUGACGCAGCGACGCCGCGUGGGGGAGUGAAGGUC